UAGACUCCAAAGGAACUAGCAGAAAAGAGAGGAGCAACAUCUUUGUUCAUACAGCACUCAAAGCAAAGUUUUAGAGUGAUUCCUUCGAGGAUUUAGUUUUGGUUUUCAAGUAGCAUGGUCCUGGCAGUCUGGCAGAUAGUAUAGAGGCAGUUUAUGAGGUUAUGGACAACUGCAGGCUUUAGAAUGACAGAAAAAAACAUACAAGGGUGAGAUAUUGGAGGAAGCUGAAACGGUCAAGAGAGUACAGUCCGUUAGUAGAGCAAAGAAGUUGAACAGAAACCGCUCCUCAGCAUGUAGACAAAAUGUCUGGCCGUCAAAAGGGCCUUGAAACACGCGUCACGUCAGGAUUCUUCUCCGCUUCUGCAGGAGCGUCCCCAAUACCGGCCGCUUGGAGGAUUUGCCGGCAACAGCAAGUGCACCUCCAAAUGUCGUAGUCGUAGCUCUCGAUUACAACAUCAUUAGCCCAUAUUUCUUUCUGUAUUAGUUUGCUUAUAGAUAAAUUCUGUUUUCUCCUUCCUCGCUUCGCUUCUCCGUGGUGAGGAUCUAUGCUUAUCGAGAGGCAGUCCUUUUAGAAACAUUUGUCCUAAUAACCUUUGAGACUCGAACUCGGGUAGCAAGUGCCACCGGAUGGACAGGGCAGGGAUCUGUCAAAACGUGUCGUCUGCCGAUAAUGGACUAGGGCCUUAUUUAGUUGCUAAAGUUUGGAGUUACCAAAGUUUGGAGAUGACAAAUUACUGUUACAGCACUGUAG
This 751-nucleotide long non-coding RNA is filed under the name Setaria italica (foxtail millet). RNAcentral's name for it is "long non-coding RNA (SITA_LNC006119)". Lineage: Eukaryota; Viridiplantae; Streptophyta; Magnoliopsida; Poales; Poaceae. The record is from RNAcentral.